This 206-nucleotide ribosomal RNA is filed under the name uncultured bacterium. RNAcentral's name for it is "partial 16S ribosomal RNA". It matches the Rfam family "Bacterial small subunit ribosomal RNA", at positions 568 to 774 of the family's 1533-position model. The record is from RNAcentral.
CACGUAGGCGGCUCUUUAAGUCAGGGGUGAAAUCCUGGAGCUCAACUCCAGAACUGCCCUUGAUACUGAGGAGCUUGAGUCCGGGAGAGGUGAGUGGAACUGCGAGUGUAGAGGUGAAAUUCGUAGAUAUUCGCAAGAACACCAGUGGCGAAGGCGGCUCACUGGCCCGGUACUGACGCUGAGGUGCGAAAGCGUGGGAGCAAACA